GUUGAGCUGAGUUAUGCUAGCUUGUAACUCAAGUGAGGGCAUCAAGCUGAUGGAACAACUCUGAGACUUAGUUGGGUUGGGAUGUUGCUUGCAAAAUGUUGGCUUGACCAAGUUGAGAGUUCAUUCAUGGGACUUGAGCGAAGGCUUAUGUCUCUUGGGUCUUAGACUAGAGGGCACUGCGUGAGGCUGGUUUCACAAAGUAUGGAUUACUCUUUGGAUACAUAGCAUAAUGCAUUGAAAUCACAAAACACUAGAUGCACAAUUAGGAAGUAGCAUUCUGAAUACCUGGCAGUUUC
Molecule: non-coding RNA, 296 nt
Filed under: Glycine max (soybean)
Lineage: Eukaryota; Viridiplantae; Streptophyta; Magnoliopsida; Fabales; Fabaceae
Source: RNAcentral